Homo sapiens (human) is the source of this 565-nucleotide long non-coding RNA. The record is from Ensembl. NCBI's taxonomy places the organism in Eukaryota, Metazoa, Chordata, Mammalia, Primates, Hominidae.
UAUAGGCACUGAACUAGGGACUGGGAUACAAAUUUGAUGAAGACAUGGUUCAUACCCUAGAAGGACUCAGAAUGGGGGGUGGAGUCAUGGACUGUUCUUCAUUUUCAGUAUGCUGAAUGAUUUUUCUGAUCAUGGAUAAUCAGAAAAACAGUAAUGCUGAAGACUAGCUGAGAGUAGGCCUGGCAGGAACUGUGUGAGCUAAAGGAGAAGAGGAAGACAUGAGACUUGGACUGUGGUUAAAUGGGUCCCUCUCCUGGCUAAUACAUAUGGAAGCAGGCACCUUUUAAAGACAUCAGCUAAAGCAGAUUCAGUUUUCAGUUAAGGGACAUAUAGCAAUUAUGAUGUUCGGUGGAAGAACCAGAUUCUCUUGUCUUCCCUGAGACCCAGAGGCUGAAUAACCAGGAACUUCCAGAGAUACUUGGUUCUCAGAAAGAAAGAAAGCUGUCCAACAUGCCAUUGAGGAUACUGGCUUAAAAGAAGUCUGUUCUUACCAGGCUGAAGUAGAGCUCUUCUCUUCCUCAGACAGAUGCCUCAUUAGGCAAAAUUAAAAAUCUAGGAAAAUAGA